This 1819-nucleotide unclassified non-coding RNA is filed under the name Orussus abietinus. RNAcentral describes it as "collagen alpha-1(III) chain, transcript variant X1". Lineage: Eukaryota; Metazoa; Arthropoda; Insecta; Hymenoptera; Orussidae. The record is from RNAcentral.
CUGGAUGACUGUGUAGAAAGGUUUGGCCUGGAGAGAACGUCAGCACUGUAAAUAGAAGUCUAGCAAGAGUGGUAGACGCAGGUCGUCUUCCCUUGCGCAGCGGUGCGGCACUCCGUAAAUUGAGUUUGCUUGAGUUAAAACCACUCCUGAAAUCAAAGCGUCCAAUUGACCAACGGAAUGUCAUCCUCGCCAGUUUUGAACCCGGAAAUCCCCUAUGUGGGUGAUGUGGAAGGUGGCUUGUUUCCUGGGAAAAUGGUGAAGAUUCAGGGAAAAGUUCCUCCGGAAGCUGUACGCUUUGCCAUAAAUUAUCAACUAGGACCGAAUUUGAAUCCCAGAGACGAUAUAGCAAUACACGUGUCCCCUCGUUUUCCUGAAGGAUUUAUUACUAGGAAUCAUAUAGAGGGUAUGAGCUGGGGACCGGAGGAAAAUGAAGGGCCACUAAUAAUUCAACCGGGGCAACGAUUUGAAAUCAUUAUUUUAUGUGAACAACAUUGCUAUAAAAUUGCUGUAAAUGGCAAUCACUUUACGGAGUUCCGUCACCGAUUACCCUUUCAAAAAGUUUCCCAUUUAAUUAUCGAUGGGGAUGUUGAAGUGACUUCUAUUUUCUAUGAGAUUAUACCCGUUGGGCCACCUCGCAGUCCUCGAGAUGCAACACCGGUGCCUGAUGUACCACCUGUAAACAUUGGUCCUCCUCCUCCUGGAGGCAUUUAUCCAACGAUUAGUCCCCAAAUUCCUCCUGGAGGUUAUGGCCCACCACCUGAUGCCUAUGGUGGCUCUGGUGGCUAUAAUCCACCCCGAGCCUAUGGUGCACAACCUGGUAGAGAAAAAGCCGAAGAAGAAGAUGCAUUCGGGGGAUGCCUAGAUAAAAUGGGAUUAGCAUUAGGAGGCCUAGUAGCUGCCGGAGGAGUGGCUGCUGCUAUGCAUGUUAUAAAUAAAAAAAAAGAGGAACAGGAAAAAGAUCACGAGAAAACUGAUGCAUCAAAAUCAGAGUCCGAAGGAGGUGGCUUAGGAGGAUUGGGUGCACUUGGCGCCGCACUAGCUAGCAGCCUUGCUUCAAAUGCUCUUCAAGGAGAUAACAGAUAUCCACAAUCGGGUUAUCCUCAACAGGAAUCUGGUGGAGGUGUAUUAGGCUCUAUCCUUGGUGCACUAGGUGGUGGUGGAGCUCCGCAACAACCAGCUCAUCCGCCACCCGCAGCAGAUCCUCUUGGAGGAGCUCUGGGGUCUAUUCUCGGCGGCGUUUUUGGAGGAGGAGGAAACAGUCAGCCUUCGUAUCAACCAUCUGGUGGUUAUGGAGGAUAUCCACCACCAGGUGGUUACCAACCUUCCGGAGGCUACGCUCCCCAAACUGGAGGAUCAGACUUUCUAUCAGGAAUUGGAUCUGCCAUUGGAUCCUCGCUUCUGAGUUCGGCUUUAGAUGGGCUUGGCAAACGUGGCAAGAACUGAGCCGUUUCUGCGGCAACUUUCAGUGCAUUCUGGCGGCAAACUCCCCAAUGCCAGGGGCUCUGGUAUAUACAAAAUCGCCCGAGUCUGAUAAGCCGGUUCGGCUCUAUUACGAACAGUGAUAUCCAAUUUGAUGGGAAAUGUGGAGCCGAUGACGAAGCGGUCACCACUCGGCAAAUUGGUUGUCUUUGUUAACAACGGGGCAAGAUGAACAUCUCGAUUUGUCUUCAAGUUCGUUGCUCAAAUGCAAAGAUACGAAUAUUUCGAUCGGGUCGACGACAUUCUGUAUGGCCUCCUGAAAUGUAAUGUAUUAUCCAGAGAGAUUUAAUUGUUAUGCGAUAAAAGGUGUAUUAAAAGACGGGAUAUGCAAAAUACCGAA